This 71-nucleotide transfer RNA is filed under the name Bos taurus (domestic cattle). It matches the Rfam family "tRNA". From Rfam's summary of the family: Transfer RNA (tRNA) molecules are approximately 80 nucleotides in length. The record is from Rfam by way of RNAcentral. RNAcentral also lists the same sequence under 4 other names. Lineage: Eukaryota; Metazoa; Chordata; Mammalia; Artiodactyla; Bovidae.
UCCCAAGUGGCUCAGUGGUAAAGAAUCUGCCUGCAAUGCAGAAGACCUGGGUUCGAUCCCUGGGUUGGGAA